UACGUAGGGUGCGAGCGUUGUCCGGAAUUAUUGGGCGUAAAGAGCUCGUAGGUGGCCUGUCGCGUCGGCUGUGAAAACUCGGGGCUCAACUCCGGGUCUGCAGUCGAUACGGGCGGACUCGAGUUCGGCAGGGGAGACUGGAAUUCCUGGUGUAGCGGUGAAAUGCGCAGAUAUCAGGAGGAACACCGGUGGCGAAGGCGGGUCUCUGGGCCGAUACUGACGCUGAGGAGCGAAAGCGUGGGGAGCGAACAGG
This 253-nucleotide ribosomal RNA is filed under the name uncultured bacterium. Its description in RNAcentral is "partial 16S ribosomal RNA". It matches the Rfam family "Bacterial small subunit ribosomal RNA", at positions 524 to 776 of the family's 1533-position model. The record is from RNAcentral.